Molecule: ribosomal RNA, 255 nt
Filed under: uncultured bacterium
Lineage: Bacteria
Description: partial 16S ribosomal RNA
Rfam family: Bacterial small subunit ribosomal RNA
Source: RNAcentral
UACGAAGGGGGCUAGCGUUGCUCGGAAUUACUGGGCGUAAAGCGCACGUAGGCGGCUUUCUAAGUCGGGGGUGAAAUCCUGGAGCUCAACUCCAGAACUGCCUUCGAUACUGGAGAGCUCGAGUCCGGGAGAGGUGAGUGGAACUGGCGAGUGUAGAGGUGAAAUUCGUAGAUAUUCGCAAGAACACCAGUGGCGAAGGCGGCUCACUGGCCCGGUACUGACGCUGAGGUGCGAAAGCGUGGGGAGCAAACAGGG